This 411-nucleotide ribosomal RNA is filed under the name Verrucomicrobiota bacterium. Its description in RNAcentral is "Verrucomicrobia bacterium partial 16S ribosomal RNA". It matches the Rfam family "Bacterial small subunit ribosomal RNA", at positions 355 to 776 of the family's 1533-position model. The record is from RNAcentral. Lineage: Bacteria; Pseudomonadati; Verrucomicrobiota.
UGGGGAAUAUUGCGCAAUGGGGGAAACCCUGACGCAGCGACGCCGCGUGCGGGAUGAAGGCCUUCGGGUUGUAAACCGCUUUUGAUUGGGAGCAAGCUUUCGGGUGAGUGUACCUUUCGAAUAAGCGCCGGCUAACUACGUGCCAGCAGCCGCGGUAAUACGUAGGGCGCAAGCGUUGUCCGGAAUUAUUGGGCGUAAAGCGCGCGCAGGUGGUUUAGAAAGUCUGAUGUGAAAGCCCACGGCUCAACCGUGGAGGGUCAUUGGAAACUAAUAAACUUGAGUGCAGGAGAGAAAAGUGGAAUUCCUAGUGUAGCGGUGAAAUGCGUAGAGAUUAGGAGGAACACCGGUGGCGAAAGCGGCUUUUUGGCCUGCAACUGACACUGAGGCGCGAAAGCGUGGGGAGCAAACAGG